This 526-nucleotide ribosomal RNA is filed under the name Salmonella enterica. Its description in RNAcentral is "bacterial SSU rRNA". It matches the Rfam family "Bacterial small subunit ribosomal RNA", at positions 1 to 518 of the family's 1533-position model. The record is from RNAcentral. Lineage: Bacteria; Pseudomonadati; Pseudomonadota; Gammaproteobacteria; Enterobacterales; Enterobacteriaceae.
AAAUUGAAGAGUUUGAUCAUGGCUCAGAUUGAACGCUGGCGGCAGGCCUAACACAUGCAAGUCGAACGGUAGCACAGAGAGCUUGCUCUCGGGUGACGAGUGGCGGACGGGUGAGUAAUGUCUGGGAAACUGCCUGAUGGAGGGGGAUAACUACUGGAAACGGUGGCUAAUACCGCAUAACGUCGCAAGACCAAAGAGGGGGACCUUCGGGCCUCUUGCCAUCAGAUGUGCCCAGAUGGGAUUAGCUUGUUGGUGAGGUAACGGCUCACCAAGGCGACGAUCCCUAGCUGGUCUGAGAGGAUGACCAGCCACACUGGAACUGAGACACGGUCCAGACUCCUACGGGAGGCAGCAGUGGGGAAUAUUGCACAAUGGGCGCAAGCCUGAUGCAGCCAUGCCGCGUGUAUGAAGAAGGCCUUCGGGUUGUAAAGUACUUUCAGCGGGGAGGAAGGUGUUGUGGUUAAUAACCGCAGCAAUUGACGUUACCCGCAGAAGAAGCACCGGCUAACUCCGUGCCAGCAGCCGC